This 422-nucleotide ribosomal RNA is filed under the name uncultured bacterium. RNAcentral's name for it is "bacterial SSU rRNA". It matches the Rfam family "Bacterial small subunit ribosomal RNA", at positions 355 to 774 of the family's 1533-position model. The record is from RNAcentral.
UGAGGAAUAUUGGGCAAUGCCCGAAAGGGUGACCCAGCAACGCCGCGUGGAGGAUGAAGGUCGUAAGAUUGUAAACUCCUGUUAGAGGGGAAGAAUAACUAAGUUUGGAGCUUAGUAUGACUGUACCCUCAGAGAAAGCCCCGGCUAACUACGUGCCAGCAGCCGCGGUAAUACGUAGGGGGCAAGCGUUGUCCGGAUUUACUGGGUGUAAAGGGCGCGCAGGCGGAAUGGAAAGUCAGUGGUGAAAUCCUACAGCUUAACUUGGAAACUGCCGUUGAUACUAUAGGUCUUGAAUUAUCUGGAGGUAAGCGGAAUAUGUCAUGUAGCGGUGAAAUGCUUAGAUAUUACAUAGAACACCAAUUGCGAAGGCAGCUUACUACAUAUAAAUUGACGCUGAGACACGAAAGCGUGGGGAUCAAACA